Molecule: ribosomal RNA, 492 nt
Filed under: uncultured bacterium
Lineage: Bacteria
Description: partial 16S ribosomal RNA
Rfam family: Bacterial small subunit ribosomal RNA
Source: RNAcentral
AGUGAACGCUGGCGGUAGGCCUAACACAUGCAAGUCGAACGGCAGCACAGUAAGAGCUUGCUCUUACGGGUGGCGAGUGGCGGACGGGUGAGGAAUACAUCGGAAUCUACUUUUUCGUGGGGGAUAACGUAGGGAAACUUACGCUAAUACCGCAUACGACCUACGGGUGAAAGCAGGGGAUCUUCGGACCUUGUGCGAUUGAAUGAGCCGAUGUCGGAUUAGCUAGUUGGCGGGGUAAAGGCCCACCGAGGCGACGAUCCGUAGCUGGUCUGAGAGGAUGAUCAGCCACACUGGAACUGAGACACGGUCCAGACUCCUACGGGAGGCAGCAGUGGGGAAUAUUGGACAAUGGGCGCAAGCCUGAUCCAGCCAUACCGCGUGGGUGAAGAAGGCCUUCGGGUUGUAAAGCCCUUUUGUUGGGAAAGAAAAGCAGCAGGUUAAUACCCCGCUGUUCUGACGGUACCCAAAGAAUAAGCACCGGCUAACUUCGUG